RNAcentral lists this ribosomal RNA (304 nucleotides) under uncultured bacterium. Its description in RNAcentral is "partial 16S ribosomal RNA". It matches the Rfam family "Bacterial small subunit ribosomal RNA", at positions 506 to 807 of the family's 1533-position model. The record is from RNAcentral.
CAGCAGUAGCCGCGGUAAUACGGAGGGUGCAAGCGUUAAUCGGAAUUACUGGGCGUAAAGCGCGCGCAGGCGGUUUGUUAAGUCAGAUGUGAAAUCCCCGAGCUUAACUUGGGAACUGCAUUUGAAACUGGCAAGCUAGAGUCUUGUAGAGGGGGGUAGAAUUCCAGGUGUAGCGGUGAAAUGCGUAGAGAUCUGGAGGAAUACCGGUGGCGAAGGCGGCCCCCUGGACAAAGACUGACGCUCCGGUGCGAAAGCGUGGGGAGCAAACAGGAUUAGAUACCCCUGUAGUCCCUGUCUCUUAUAC